Thalictrum thalictroides is the source of this 76-nucleotide non-coding RNA. Lineage: Eukaryota; Viridiplantae; Streptophyta; Magnoliopsida; Ranunculales; Ranunculaceae. The record is from the annotation of a GenBank genome assembly.
GAAUCUUUAGCUCAAAUGGUAGAGCACUUGGGAAUAUGAAUCUCAAGGGAUGAUGGUUCAAAUCCACCAAGAUCCU